RNAcentral lists this ribosomal RNA (468 nucleotides) under uncultured bacterium. RNAcentral's name for it is "partial 16S ribosomal RNA". It matches the Rfam family "Bacterial small subunit ribosomal RNA", at positions 28 to 523 of the family's 1533-position model. The record is from RNAcentral.
GAUGAACGCUGGCGGCGUGCCUAACACAUGCAAGUCGAGCGAUUUACUUCGGUAAAGAGCGGCGGACGGGUGAGUAACGCGUGGGUAACCUGCCCUGUACACACGGAUAACAUACCGAAAGGUAUGCUAAUACGGGAUAAUAUGCUUUAGUCGCAUGGCUGAAGUAUCAAAGCUCCGGCGGUACAGGAUGGACCCGCGUCUGAUUAGCUAGUUGGUAAGGCAACGGCUUACCAAGGCGACGAUCAGUAGCCGACCUGAGAGGGUGAUCGGCCACAUUGGAACUGAGACACGGUCCAGACUCCUACGGGAGGCAGCAGUGGGGAAUAUUGCACAAUGGGCGAAAGCCUGAUGCAGCAACGCCGCGUGAGCGAUGAAGGCCUUCGGGUCGUAAAGCUCUGUCGUCAAGGAAGAUAAUGACGGUACUUGAGGAGGAAGCCCCGGCUAACUACGUGCCAGCCGCCGCGGUAA